RNAcentral lists this ribosomal RNA (255 nucleotides) under uncultured bacterium. Its description in RNAcentral is "partial 16S ribosomal RNA". It matches the Rfam family "Bacterial small subunit ribosomal RNA", at positions 524 to 776 of the family's 1533-position model. The record is from RNAcentral.
UACGUAGGGUGCGAGCGUUUGUCCGGAAUUAUUGGGCGUAAAGAGCUCGUAGGCGGUCUGUCGCGUCGAUCGUGAAAACUUGGGGCUUAACCCUGAGCUUGCGGUCGAUACGGGCAUGACUGGAGUUCGGCAGGGGAGACUGGAAUUCCUGGUGUAGCGGUGAAAUGCGCAGAUAUCAGGAGGAACACCGGUGGCGAAGGCGGGUCUCUGGGCCGAUACUGACGCUGAGGAGCGAAAGCGUGGGGAGCGAACAGG